UCAAUAUAAGUUGAUUAAAAUUUAUUUAUUAAUUUUUUAUUUGUCUAAUUUAAUUUAUUAAAAAUAAUUAUAAAAUUUAUGGUUUUAGUAUUUUAUAAAGAAUAGAUAAUUUUAAUUAUAGUUAAUUAGUAUUGUGAAAGAAUAUUGAAAUAAUUUGAAAAAUUUUUAUUAAAAAAGAAAAUUUAAUUUAUUGUACCUUGUGUAUCAGGGUUUAUUAAAUAAAAAAUAAAUAUUUGUUUUUCUCGAUUUCGGAAGAGUUAAUAAAUUAUAAAAGUUAAUGUAUUAAAAUUAUUUUUAAUAAUUUAUUAGAAAUGAAAUGUUAUUCGUUUUUGAAGGUAUCUAGUUUUUUUAGAAAUAAAUUUAAUUUACAAUUUUUAAAAUUAUUUAAUUAGUUAAAUUAAUUAAAUAAAUUUUUAAAUUGAAUAUCUUAUGGGAUAAGCUAUAAGAUAAAAUUUUAAAAAUAAUGAAUAAUGUAAUUAAAUAUAUGCUUAGAAUUAGCAAUUGUUGAUAAAUUUGUUAUAAUUUAUUUUAUAAUUUAAAUUAUUUAUUAAAUUUUAAUUUUUUAUAAAAAUGUUAAUUUUAAUUUUAUAAAUUAAUUAAUAAUGAUAAAAUUAGUAUAUUUUUUGUAUAAAUAAGUUAAUUUGGUAAGUUUAUGUAAAGAAUUCGGCAAAUUUAUAUUCGCCUGUUUAACAAAAACAUGUCUUUUUGAAUUUAUUUUAAAGUCUGACCUGCCCACUGAAAUAAUUUAAAUGGCCGCAGUAUAUUAACUGUGCAAAGGUAGCAUAAUCAUUAGUCUUUUAAUUGAAGGCUGGUAUGAAUGGUUGGACGAGAUAUAAACUGUUUCAUAUGAAUUUAAAAUAGAAUUUUAUUUUUUAGUCAAAAAGCUAAAAUUUUUUUAAAAGACGAGAAGACCCUAUAAAUCUUAAUAAUUAUUAUUAUUUUGAUUUAAAGAUUAAUUUUAUUAUAAUAGUAAUAAUUAUUUUAUUGGGGUGAUAUUAAAAUUUAAUAAACUUUUAAUUAUAAAAAUCAUUAAUUUAUGAUUAAUUGAUCCGUUAAUAACGAUUAAAAAUUUAAGUUACUUUAGGGAUAACAGCGUAAUUUUUUUGGAGAGUUCAUAUCGAUAAAAAAGAUUGCGACCUCGAUGUUGGAUUAAGAUAUAAUUUUAGGUGUAGCCGCUUAAAUUUUAAGUCUGUUCGACUUUUAAAUUCUUACAUGAUCUGAGUUCAAACCGGUG
RNAcentral lists this ribosomal RNA (1234 nucleotides) under Eurygnathomyia sp. A HYH-2016. RNAcentral's name for it is "partial 16S ribosomal RNA". The record is from RNAcentral. Lineage: Eukaryota; Metazoa; Arthropoda; Insecta; Diptera; Pallopteridae.